UCCCACUAAAACAAUAGGAAUCGGCGGCGGCUAGGGUUCCGGUGUUGAGACGAGAGAUGGAGACCUGGACGGCGACGAUCGAUUGAUUCGGCGGUGGCUAGGGUUCCGGCGUUGAGACGAGGGGUGGCGACGGCAAGGCGGAGGCACGUCGACCGGAGGGCGGAGGCGCGUCGACCGGAGGGCGGCAGCGGAACGGAAUCCACGAGAAGCGCAGUCGUCGGAGAAGAAGCCAAAGGGGAGGGGUUCUCGAAAACACGUCUGUUUAGUGUUUAGUGUUUGUGUUUGGUGACUUGUUUGG
This 298-nucleotide long non-coding RNA is filed under the name Eucalyptus grandis. RNAcentral's name for it is "long non-coding RNA (EGRA_LNC000375)". The record is from RNAcentral. Lineage: Eukaryota; Viridiplantae; Streptophyta; Magnoliopsida; Myrtales; Myrtaceae.